RNAcentral lists this ribosomal RNA (784 nucleotides) under uncultured bacterium. RNAcentral's name for it is "bacterial SSU rRNA". It matches the Rfam family "Bacterial small subunit ribosomal RNA", at positions 722 to 1506 of the family's 1533-position model. The record is from RNAcentral.
GCGCUGCCUGGCAGUGUAUUGACGCUGAGGUGCGAAAGUGCGGGGAGCAAACAGGAUUAGAUACCCUGGUAGUCCGCACCGUAAACGAUGGAUACUAGGCGUUCGGAGAGUUAACCCUCUGAGUGCCAAAGUUCACACAUUAAGUAUCCCGCCUGGGAAGUACGGUCGCAAGACUAAAACUCAAAGGAAUUGACGGGGGCCCGCACAAGCGGUGGAGUAUGUGGUUUAAUUCGAAGCAACGCGCAGAACCUUACCUGGCCUUGACAUCGCGAGACAGGUGCAGAGAUGCAUCCUUCCCUUCGGGGACUCGUAGACAGGUGCUGCAUGGCUGUCGUCAGCUCGUGUUGUGAAAUGUUCGGUUAAGUCCGGCAACGAGCGCAACCCCUGUUCUCAGUUACCAGCAUUAAGUUGGGGACUCUGGGAAGACCGCCGGUGUUAAACCGGAGGAAGGCGGGGAUGACGUCAAGUCCUCAUGGCCCUUACGGCCAGGGCUACACACGUACUACAAUGGUAGAAACAGACGGCUGCAAGACCGCAAGGUGGAGCUAAUCCGUAAAACACUAUCUCAGUCCGGAUUGAGGUCUGCAACUCGACCUCAUGAAGUUGGAAUCGCUAGUAAUCGCAGAUCAGCACGCUGCGGUGAAUACGUUCCCGGGCCUUGUACGCACCGCCCGUCACACCACGAAAGUGGUCUUAACCAGAAGUGAGUGAGCCAACCGCAAGGAAGCAGCUCACCAAGGUUGAGGCCGUGAUUGGGGUGAAGUCGUAACAAGGUAACCAAGGG